This 197-nucleotide ribosomal RNA is filed under the name uncultured bacterium. RNAcentral's name for it is "partial 16S ribosomal RNA". It matches the Rfam family "Bacterial small subunit ribosomal RNA", at positions 1296 to 1500 of the family's 1533-position model. The record is from RNAcentral.
GAUCGGAGUCUGCAACCCGACUCCGUGAAGCUGGAUUCGCUAGUAAUCGCGCAUCAGCCAUGGCGCGGUGAAUACGUUCCCGGGCCUUGUACACACCGCCCGUCAAGCCAUGGAAGCCGGGGGCGCUUGAAGUGCGUUGCCGCAAGGCGCGCCCUAGAGCGAAACCGGUGACUGGGGCUAAGUCGUAACAAGGUACC